Molecule: long non-coding RNA, 1209 nt
Organism: Fopius arisanus
Lineage: Eukaryota; Metazoa; Arthropoda; Insecta; Hymenoptera; Braconidae
Exons: 4
Source: RefSeq, a predicted model, not a curated record
GCAAAAUGUUUCGGUGGAAAGGAAAGUGGCCAGCGUAAAAAGAAAUAAAUUUACGUUUCAGUCGACAAAAGCGAGGUUUGAAGAGAAAACUAAGUGAAAAUACAACUGCUGGAAAUUUAGCUGAAGCUGAAGUUCACAACUUGCAAGAUCCAGAAGAAAAAAAAAAUAACCUGCAAACAAAAUCAGAACGGGGGAGAAAAUGUCAACAGAAAUAUUGGGGGAAAUCAAUAAAAUCAGUGAUCUAGAGUCACAUGAAAAAGAAAAUUCACACGAGACGUCACUUACAAAUUGGGACCAGCCAAGUACGAGUAACCGGGGAAAGAGCUCAUGGAUGGUCGAUGAAUUGUCGAACUGAAAUUUUUGGGUGAGCAGAUGUGGUGUACGUUAUGCAAAGAAAUUUUGGCAUUCCAGUUUCUGGAAAAUGAACACCGUAAAGGGCUGGGAUCUGUUUUGAAAAUCAGGUGUCAUAAAUGUCUUCUAGUGAAUAAAGUGAGGACAAAUAGAGAGCAUUGGAUGAAAAACAAACGCACCGAACGUUUUGACGUCCAUUGAAAAAGUGUGUUAGGAGCACUUCGCCGUGGCCUAGGAUGGUCUCAAGUGAAUAAAUUUUGUUGGAGAGAGAACAUUCAACAACCCUUCUACAGUUUUCAAUAGCCUCAAGAAUUCCAAAGUGGCUUCAUUACGCCGAAACGAUGCCCAUUUCAUCUAGUCACAAUUGCGAUAAAUCAAUGGCAGAUGAACAGCCAGAAGAAUUAAUGAAUAAGAUAUCCUUUAAUGAUGUAAUCCGUGUAAUGGUUUCUUAUGAUAUGGCUUGGAACAUCAGGGGUGCUGGCCGUAGUUAUGACGGUUUAAAUGGGUUUGGGGCAAUCAUUGAUCAUUGCAGUGGAUAAGUUUUGGAUCAUGCAUCAUUUCAUCUCAAAUGCAAAAAUGUGACAGCACUAAUCCUAGUCCCCCUAACCCUAAUUGUCGUUGUAUUUCUCAUGGGUACGCAAAAACCAUGGAGCCUGAGGUUGGUACAAAAUUAGUCAUGGAAAAACAAAUUUUUAAAACACAGAAUGACGAGGUCGGAGUACUUAUUGGCGAUGAUGACAGCUCCACCAUCACGGCUUGUCGUAAUGCCAGUUCGGAUCGAAUACUAAAGCAGUCGGAUAAAAAUCACGCUGCCGGCGGAGUACAAAAACACCUUUAUGGUAUGGAGAAAAAAAACAA